This 21-nucleotide microRNA is filed under the name Gadus morhua (Atlantic cod). RNAcentral describes it as "gmo-let-7a-3-3p". Its record names the gene gmo-let-7a-3-3p. The record is from miRBase by way of RNAcentral. RNAcentral also lists the same sequence under 3 other names. Lineage: Eukaryota; Metazoa; Chordata; Actinopteri; Gadiformes; Gadidae.
CUAUACAACUUACUGUCUUUC